CUUGUCAGAGGCUGGGUCGUAGCACUUCCUGGCAUUCCCCCAGUUCCGUCCCGGCGUGGUGGUAGAGGCCAUUGGGGGUGCGCUAUGCUCCACUGAUUACUCGCUGCGGGUUGUUUCUGUGCGGCGUCUAUUCCUCUCCUCCAAGCUGUGUCGUCCAGGACUGCCUGAUUGGGGGAAGUAUAACCCAGCUGCUGCGCAGUGUCGGCCGAUCAGCGAGGGAAACCACUGCUGCUUUGCCUCGUACCGGAGAUUGUUUGGCUGCAACCGCGGCUAACGGCUUUGCCUCGUACCGGAGAUUGUUUGGCUGCAACCGCGGCUAACGGCUUUGCC
This is a long non-coding RNA of Scatophagus argus, 330 nucleotides long. RefSeq lists it as uncharacterized. The record is from RefSeq and is a predicted model, not a curated record. NCBI's taxonomy places the organism in Eukaryota, Metazoa, Chordata, Actinopteri, Scatophagidae. The transcript is spliced from 3 exons.